CUCAAGUAGCAGCUCAGCAUGACAGACUGGCUUACGAAAGGAGGCGUAAUGUACUUUGCAAUAGCAUUAUUUCUUGCCUUUGUUUCUGAGAACCAAACGGAAGGAGCUGAUUGCCUUGAACAAGAAUACCCCGGCAUCCUUAAAAAACCUGUAUAUGUCAACGGCAGUCACUGCAUUGUGAGUAAGACUGUCCAGUUGCCAAAUGGAACAAGUGAAUCAUUUCGGCGACCCUGCAUCAAGCUCACGUGCCUUGUCCAUGAAAAAAAACUGAAAGAAGAAUACUGCAAGCCAUCUGACAAUUACGACGAAAACGGCUUUCAACUUGAACCAUCAGGAGACGGAGGAUUUCCUUUCUGUUGCCCUAUGGCUACUGCUAAGAAAAAGCCCUAGACAGAAAUAAAGUUGUUUUUUUCCUGCA
This is a long non-coding RNA of Dermacentor andersoni, 418 nucleotides long. RefSeq lists it as uncharacterized. The record is from RefSeq and is a predicted model, not a curated record. NCBI's taxonomy places the organism in Eukaryota, Metazoa, Arthropoda, Arachnida, Ixodida, Ixodidae.